RNAcentral lists this transfer RNA (73 nucleotides) under Trichonephila inaurata madagascariensis. RNAcentral's name for it is "tRNA-Gly". It matches the Rfam family "tRNA". Rfam says of the family: Transfer RNA (tRNA) molecules are approximately 80 nucleotides in length. Their secondary structure includes four short double-helical elements and three loops (D, anti-codon, and T loops). Lineage: Eukaryota; Metazoa; Arthropoda; Arachnida; Araneae; Nephilidae. The record is from RNAcentral.
GCGUCGGUGGUAUAACGGUUAGCAUAGCUGCCUUCCAAGCAGCUGACCCGGGUUCGACUCCCGGCCGACGGCA